This 1367-nucleotide long non-coding RNA is filed under the name Astyanax mexicanus (Mexican tetra). RNAcentral describes it as "lncRNA (ENSAMXG00005002166.1)". The record is from RNAcentral. Lineage: Eukaryota; Metazoa; Chordata; Actinopteri; Characiformes; Acestrorhamphidae.
UGGCAGUACAACAGGCAUGAUUUAUACAUUUCUAGAAAUAAUUGUGUUUUAAUUAUUGCGUCUGUUUUAUAUAAUACAAGGGCAACUAUGUGACACCUGUUAAAAAAGCCACAGACUUAAGAAGCUGGAAGCAGCACACCUAAACAUGAAGCAGGGCUGUUAUGGAGUCAAAUUGGGGUCUUUAAUGCUGACGAGAAAAUAAAACUAUCGUGAAAAAAAAUCUCCACGAAUUGCAAAAAAAAUCUAAUAUUGCAAACAAAGAAGAGAACAUAAAUUAUUUUUUUUCACUUGUGAUAUUAUUUUUAUAAUGAAUCUUUUGCAACACCAUUUUUUCUUUGUUGCGUUUUGCGCUUUGCGUCCCUCUUUUAUUUUUGCAAUACGUUCCCUCCGUUGCGUUCCUCGGUUUUGUUUGCGAGUCUUUUUUGACCCCUUUUUGACGUGUGGGGUGUGGAGAGAGGAAAGGGGGCGUGGCCACGGUGAAAAGGCUGGUUAUUGAAGGUUCACGUCAUCAGCUGGAGCCUCUGCCGCGCAGCCCGCCAACUCGACCGGUCGUCAUGAUGGACGCUAACCAGGCCGAACAACAGCAGAAAGAGUGCCCUGAUGUGACUGCAGCAACUCGCACUCUAAUAAAUUUGCUGACUCAAAGCUUAAGUCAGGGACAGGGAGGUCAGGUACAGCAACAAAGACAGACACUACCCCCUCCUUCUCUUCCUGCUCCUCAACCAUGCAUAGCACAGGAAAUGGCCAGGUUAUGUCCAUAUCCACCUUUACUGAUUUAAUUGUAUGCUUAUACUCACAAUCUGUUAACUGGUUGUGUCACUAACAUUUUGUUUGUUGUUUGCAGGUCAUUUCCUGGUUUUUUUAAGGGAGCACCACAAAAAAGAAAAUUUGGAAGACCCAUAUUACAGCCUAAAACACCCCAAAAAAAACUGGAAACCUUUUCUUAUUAAUGUGUUUCUCCUUAACAAAAACACAGACAGUUCACCAUCACCUUCUGAGGAACUGGAAUUACUCCAGGCUGGAUUGGGCAAGCGCACUAUUUCUGUUGCUGCAGACCUGACACAUUCUGAAGUUAGUAUGUGUUUCUUUCACCAUCUUUCAUUAAAGCUUAACUCUAAACUGUCCUAGCUGACUUUAGGAAACUUUAAUUGAAUUUAAAUGUCAAGUUUCCAGUUCUCUAUAUACAUGGAUUAUGAGUUCCCUGUAACUGUCUGUUCUUGUUUUUACUUUCUGUAGUUAUGUGGGUUUCUGGAGGCAGAAUUUCCAAAAAUGAAGGCACUCACUGGAGGAUGGCUGCUGUAUAAGGCUCCAGGUGCAUAGUCAUAUUUAUUCUAGGCUUACCUGUGUAGUCUUGCGUGUCAUGUUAA